Molecule: RNase P RNA, 407 nt
Filed under: Dyadobacter pollutisoli
Lineage: Bacteria; Pseudomonadati; Bacteroidota; Cytophagia; Cytophagales; Spirosomataceae
Description: Dyadobacter sp. U1 RNase P RNA component class A
Rfam family: Bacterial RNase P class A
About the family: Ribonuclease P (RNase P) is a ubiquitous endoribonuclease, found in archaea, bacteria and eukarya as well as chloroplasts and mitochondria. Its best characterised activity is the generation of mature 5'-ends of tRNAs by cleaving the 5'-leader elements of precursor-tRNAs. Cellular RNase Ps are ribonucleoproteins.
Source: RNAcentral
GGAAUAAGCUGUCCUACCGCCGCGGUAUUUGGCCGGGGAGGAAAGUCCGGGCAGCACAGAGUGCCGUACUUCCUAACGGGAAGGCAAUCGGAUGGAGACGACCGGUUGACAGCAAGUGCCACAGAAAUGAUACCGCCUUGGCAUGUUUUUUAUAUGUGAAGGUAAGGGUGAAAUGGUGGAGUAAGAGCCCACCGCUCCCCGGGCAACCGGUGAGGCAAGGUAAACCUUACGGGCUGAAAGAUCAAAUAGGUGUUAUUAAGUGGGGUUACUCGUCCCCGUUCUUCGGAACAAUGACACGGGUAGAUCGUUAGAGGUUUCGGGUGACCGGAAUCCUGGAUAAAUGGUAGGAGUCUUUUAUUGAGUUUCAAUGAAGGAAACAGAACCCGGCUUACAGGCUUAUCCUUUUU